AAUAGUACUGCGCGCCCCACGGAGCCCACUGGCCCCACGGGAUGCCCUGGUGGGUUUCUGCUGAACCUUUGUGCCCAGGGCCGGCACAGGGUGGCACCGUCGGUGUUUCUGACCAGCGUCGGCCUCAGCCGGCUCCGCGUGGGACAGCUCUCAGACGCCGCUGGAGUCUGGCACGCACGGAGCAGCGGCUGCACGGAGACCAGACUCGGCCCCUUCCUGGCUGCCCCACGUGUGCCCGCACAGAACGCACGCACACUCACGACUCGGUGCCAAUGGGGGAAGCAGUGCAGCGACCAGCAAGUGGCGAGUGUUGGGCACUUGUUGAUUACCUGCUACCUAAUCCAUGAAUUCCCAGAAUUCCCGGUCUCCGGUAAUCGGUCUCUGCAGCCGGUUUUCCGCCUGGUUGAUUAUGAACAUCCUUCAGAAGCGUUAGCCCUGAACAACAAAGCCCCACCUUGGAACUCAGUAGCUGUGCUGUCCCCCUGCACCCGACACCCAGUCCACCCGGCCAACAGCCCGUUGGCGUCCGGCUUCCUCCUGUGCUUCCCGCUCGUGUUGCCCGCACACAGCCCGGCAGGUCGACGGAGGCUGCAUCAGCGUCCCUUCUCACACGCGGGGUCUCGAGCAGGGGCCUUUACACAACUUCCACGUGGGAGGGGGCACGACGUGUGCUCAGGGAGACGGUGAGAGACCCGCGGGUCCCAGGGCUCAGGGGAACUGUCCUGAGUUGGGUGUACGUGCCAAGCACCGGGGCAGCACACGGGGACAAGACCAGUGGGCAGCUCUCAGCCGGUGCUUACGCAGCCCUCCAAAUUAUGCUCAUCAGGACGGACCCCAGACCUGUGGGGGGACCAAGGGCAGAACUAGAAAGGAGAGAGAACCCAGCCACACUGCAGUGGUGGAACACUGUGUCUUUUAUUGAGAACAUCUCAAAUCCUUUGUCUACAGGACAGCGUCUCAUGCUUGGUUCCGGCUGGUCUCGGUGCGAGGGAAGCUCAUGCAGAUUGUAACGUGUGGUAUAUACAUCAGUAUACAUACAGAGGACAGGGGGGCUGGGUCUCAGCGACAGGGUUCUCGGCUGAAUUACAUUCAUAUAAAGUGUCCAAAUUCUAAAAUAAAAUAAAAGCAUUUAACCCAGUAUCUGGAGAAGCAAACUGCUUCCGGGCUCGCUCUACAAACAUUCCACAGACAGCCUCUAACAUUCGUGGUCGCGUCCAGAAGGACGGGCACCAGCUCCCGAUGGACCAUCAGCCCACCGUGUGGCCAACUAGGUGUUCUUGGGGUUGGGGGCUCACCCCUGCAAACAGCGAACAACGCAGACGGCGGCUCCAGAGGACAGCUACGGGUCAGGACGGAGUAAGACCCCACCCUCGCCGGCCCCGAAGGACGUGACUGGCCGUGUGGCCGGAGAGAGGGUCACGGGACAUGCCAGGGGACAAGGACAGACAACGCUGGACACACGCGCCAUCACAAAUACUCUGCCCUUUCUGCUUAUCUAGUUGGGGGUUGGUGACAAGGAAUCUUUUGAGAGAUUGUCUGAUUUCAUACAUUUUAGAGAGGAAAGCCAGCUGAUUUAUUUCUCCUGCUAGAUCAAACUUACAGGCGGGGCAGGCCCUAUAUUUUGGUGUAAAAUGUUUUAGAAAUAAAGAAAACCCGUCUGAUUUGUUUUUGUGUUUUGAGAAAAAGGGGGUGAGGCGCACAGCCCUCCCCCACAGCACUUACGGACCCCACCGUCAGGUCCGCCCCCUCGAGGCCAAGGCCAGAGCGCUGCCCCUCUCCGCAGCAUCACUGUGUGAAAUUACAAGCAGUCUUCACAAAGAAAGCAGGGAUUCUGUCGUCUGGGUAUUGGGAAACCAUGAAUAAAAAUACAUUCCGGAGAAGCAAAUGCCUCGUGAGAGGUUGGCUUGCAUAUUUUAAAAUAAAAUCACUGUUUGUGAUUAAACGAGUCAAUCAAACGCUGACUCAGAAGCAGAGCUCUGCUCUGCAGCGCCCCUGGCCUGGGAAGAGGGGUGCCGGGCACUGGGCUGACGUGGCCGCGCCCUGCCUGAGACAUCCUGCAACUUGUGCCUCCCGCUAGGGGGACAGCUGCCUGCGGGCCGGUGUCUUGGCGGAAUUAAUAGGUUAAGCGAACAAAACAGAUGGGAACCCUCCCAACCCCCACUGGUCAAAAUGUCCUCAAAAUUGAAGAUUUUUCUAAAAAAAUCAAGUUCUUAGUUGUGUCAAAUUUUCUAAGUCUCUAGAAUCCUGAUUAAGGGCACUGAAUGCAAAGUGAUGCCUGGGGGAAAUAGGGAGCACGCACAGCCUCAGAAGGGACCCGAGCACUGGGUCUCCUGACGUGUCUCCGGGAGCAGUUCGUGCUGGUCUCCGUUCUGCUCCAGCUGUCCGUCCUGGGAGCUGUGCGGGCCCCACGGGUGGACGGGGCUCCCUUCCUCCCCUCCCGACCCACCUGCGGGGCCCGGACACUCACGGGACCGGCACACGGGACAGCUGGGGCGGGGAGGCCACGCGCACCUCAACCGUUAGGGCACAGAGGGAGGAGGUCAGACAAACCGGGUGGUGUUUGUAUGUGUGAGACAUAUCUCCACUGAACUUUUAAUCAAAAUCCACGUAUUUUUUUUAAAAACUAAGUCCAUCUCCCAAUCCCCAUUAGAAAAAAUACCAUUUAUAGAGAGAAUAAAAACGCAGGGGCUCAUGGAUGGCGUGUGUGUGGGAGCGCCUGCGUGGGGAGGGCGGUGACACCAGCUGGCACCCUUCCUGCUACCAGCGGAAAUAGGCGGCAGCCCAUUCAGCCAAACUGCAGCCCGCUGCAC
Molecule: long non-coding RNA, 2810 nt
Filed under: Ailuropoda melanoleuca (giant panda)
Lineage: Eukaryota; Metazoa; Chordata; Mammalia; Carnivora; Ursidae
Description: lncRNA (ENSAMEG00000026693.1)
Source: RNAcentral